This 492-nucleotide ribosomal RNA is filed under the name uncultured bacterium. RNAcentral describes it as "partial 16S ribosomal RNA". It matches the Rfam family "Bacterial small subunit ribosomal RNA", at positions 29 to 507 of the family's 1533-position model. The record is from RNAcentral.
AGUGAACGCUGGCGGUAGGCCUAACACAUGCAAGUCGAACGGCAGCACAGUAAGAGCUUGCUCUUACGGGUGGCGAGUGGCGGACGGGUGAGGAAUACAUCGGAAUCUACUUUUUCGUGGGGGAUAACGUAGGGAAACUUACGCUAAUACCGCAUACGACCUACGGGUGAAAGCAGGGGAUCUUCGGACCUUGCGCGAUUGAAUGAGCCGAUGUCGGAUUAGCUAGUUGGCGGGGUGAAGGCCCACCAAGGCGACGAUCCGUAGCUGGUCUGAGAGGAUGAUCAGCCCAACUGGAACUGAGACACGGUCCAGACUCCUACGGGAGGCAGCAGUGGGGAAUAUUGGACAAUGGGCGCAAGCCUGAUCCAGCCAUACCGCGUGGGUGAAGAAGGCCUUCGGGUUGUAAAGCCCUUUUGUUGGGAAAGAAAAGCAGCAGGUUAAUACCCCGCUGUUCUGACGGUACCCAAAGAAUAAGCACCGGCUAACUUCGUG